AAGAGCUGGGUGUUCUGCCCACAGUAAAAGUUUCGGGACAUUUCAUUAAUAGUAAUUGUGUUUAGAAUAUUCAUUUAGUUAUCGCGGUGCAUUGUGGGUAGCAGACGCCGUGUUUCAUCAGACGAGUUGUUACAGAAAGCCUGACCGUGGUCGUUGCAACUGGUCCUCCUGAGUUAUAUUCCUUUCGUUUCACCUUCGAAAGCAAUGGCUUUUCACUCUACAUUUUAUUGAGCUGAUGUCACAGUUGUACACUGUACGCCGUCAAGAAGACCGCAAUAAAGGAGCAAGACAUUCAGUUUCCUGGCUCAU
This is a long non-coding RNA of Hippocampus comes (tiger tail seahorse), 309 nucleotides long. RefSeq lists it as uncharacterized. The transcript is spliced from 2 exons. Lineage: Eukaryota; Metazoa; Chordata; Actinopteri; Syngnathiformes; Syngnathidae. The record is from RefSeq and is a predicted model, not a curated record.